Owenweeksia hongkongensis DSM 17368 is the source of this 28-nucleotide regulatory RNA element. It matches the Rfam family "L19-Flavobacteria ribosomal protein leader". NCBI's taxonomy places the organism in Bacteria, Pseudomonadati, Bacteroidota, Flavobacteriia, Flavobacteriales, Owenweeksiaceae. The record is from Rfam.
CAACCUCUGGCAAAAAUUGUGAAUGUUG